GAUGAACGCUGGCGGCGUGCCUAAUACAUGCAAGUCGAGCGAACGGACGAUAAGCUUGCUUCUCUGAUGUUAGCGGCGGACGGGUGAGUAACACGUGUAUAACCUACCUAUAAUACUUGGAUAACUUCGGGAAACCGUAUCUAAUACCGGAUAAUAUUUUGAACCGCAUUGUUCAAAAUUUAAAGACGUUCCUUCUGUCACUUAUAGAUUGAUCCGCGCUGCAUUAGCUAGUUGGUAAGGUAACGGCUUACCAAGGCAACGAUGCAUAGCCGACCUGAGAGGGUGAUCGGCAAAACGGGAACUGAGACACGGUCAAGACUACUACGGGAGGCAGCAGUAGGGAAUGUUCCGAAAUGGGCGAAAGCCUGACGGAGCAACGCCGCGUGAGUGAUGAAGGUCUUCGGAUCGUAAAACUCUGUUAUUAGGGAAGAACAUAUGUGUAAGUAACUGUGCACAUCUUGACGGUAACUAAUCAGAAAGCCACGGCUAACUACGUG
This 497-nucleotide ribosomal RNA is filed under the name uncultured bacterium. RNAcentral describes it as "partial 16S ribosomal RNA". It matches the Rfam family "Bacterial small subunit ribosomal RNA", at positions 28 to 507 of the family's 1533-position model. The record is from RNAcentral.